CCAAGCGUAUACGGGCGCACGAUGGAUGCCUUGGCACCACGAGGCGAGGAAGGACGCGGCAGACUGCGAUAAGCCACGGGGAGCCGUCAGCUGGCCCUGAUCCGUGGAUUUCCGAAUGGGGAAACCCGCCGCCCGUCAUGGGGCGGCGCCUGCGGGUGAAUAGAUAGCCCGCCAGGAGCUACACCGGGGGAAGUGAAACAUCUCAGUACCCCGAGGAGAAGAAAUCAAGAGAGAUUGCGCGAGUAGUGGCGAGCGAAAGCGCACGACGGCCAAACCGGGGGGCAUGCCCCCCGGGGUUGCGGGACCGGGACACGGUACCGGGAAGGCUAGGCGAACGGCAUGGAAAGGCCGGCCGCAGCGGGUGAGAGCCCCGUAGCCGAAAGCCCAACCGGACCCACCGGGAUCCCAAUUAGGACGGGACACGUGAAACCCCGUCCGAAUCCGGGGAGACCACUCUCCAAGCCUGAAUACUCCGUGGUGACCGAUAGUGGACAAGUACCGUGAGGGAAAGGCGAAAAGAACCCCCGCGAGGGGAGUGAAACAGACCUGAAAUCGUGCGUCCACAAGCUAUGGGAGCGUCCUCGGACGCGACCGUUUGCCUUUUGCAUAAUGAGUCCGCGAGUCAAUCCGGCCGGCGAGCGUAACCGAGAGGGGACGCGAAGCGAAAGCGAGUCCGAACAGGGCGUGCGAGUCGGCCGGAUUGGACCCGAAGCCCAUGCGAGCUAUCCUUGGACAGCGUGAAGCCCCCGUAACGGGGGGUGGAGGCGCGAAUCCGUGACCGUUGAAAAGGUCUGGAAUGAGCUGAGGAUGGGAGUGAAAGGCUUAUCAAGCUGGGUAAUAGCUGGUUCUCUCCGAAAUGCCUUUAGGGGCAGCGUCGCGGAACGCAGGCGCCGGAUGUAGAGCACUGAUCGAUCUAGGGUCCCCACCGGGAUGCCGAAGUCCGUCAAACUCCGAAGGCCGGCGCCGUCACCGCGGCAGCGAGACAGUGGGGGCUAAGCUUCAUUGUCGAAAGGGAAACAGCCCAGGACCGCCGAAUAAGGUCCCAAACCGACGUUAAGUCACUAAGGCAGUGAGGUCUCCCGGACAGGUAGGAUGUUGGCUUAGAGGCAGCCACCAUUUAAACAGUGCGUAACAGCUGACUACCCGAGAGACCCCGCGCCGAAAAUGAUCGGGAGUCAAACGUCGGACCGAAUUCGCGGGCCGCCACUAUUGUGGCGGCGGUAGGAGAGCGUCGUGCGACGGGGCGAAGCCGUGCGGGAAACCGGCGGUGGACUUCGCACGAGCGAUUAUGCGGACAUGAGUAACGUAAAACCCGAUGGAAAUUCGGGUCGCCGGAAUCCCAAGGUUUCCCGGGGCAGGUUCGUCCGCCCGGGGUUAGUCGGCACCUAAGACGAGGCCGAAGGGCGUAGUCGAUGGACGGCAGGUCAACAUUCCUGCACCGGCGGGGGUUUGAGCGUGGUUCGGAGAAGGACAGUGGAGGGGGGUCAAUGGCUAUCCCCCGCACGGCCGGGAACGGCCGGGCGCCGGAGGGGUUCGCCCCGACGGCCCCAUGCGUCCCCGCUUCCAAGAAAAGACCACGCGUAUUAACCCGUCGGCCGUACCAAAACCGACACAGGUGGGAUGGUACAAGGAUACCAAGGCGCGCGGGAGAAACCUCGUUAAGGAACUCGGCAACAUGACCCCGUAACUUCGGGAGAAGGGGUCCUCCGGGGCAAUGCCCGGAGGCGCAGCGAAACGGCCCAUGCGACUGUUUAACAAAAACACAGCACUCUGCCAACCCGUGAAGGGGAAGUAUAGGGUGUGACACGUGACCAAUGCGGAAAGGUCAAGGCGAGGAGUCAGCGCAAGCGAAGCCCCGAACCAAAGCCCCCGUGAAUGUCGGCCGUAACUAUAACGGUCCUAAGGUAGCGAAAUUCCUUGUCGGGCAAGUUCCGACCUGCACGAAUCGUGUAACGAUAUGGGCGCUGUCUCAACGAGGAUCUCGGUGAAGUUGUAGUGCCGGUGAAAAUGCCGGAUACCCGCAGAAGGACGGAAAGACCCCAUGAACCUUUACUGUAGCCUGGUACUGGGUUCUGGUCGGAUGCAUGUAGCAUAGCCGGGAGGCUUGGAAGGGCGCUCGUCAGGGCGCCCGGAGCCGCAACGUGAAAUACCGGUUCCAUCCGGGCGGAGUUCUAACCCCAUCCCGUCAUCCGGGAGGGGGACAAUGCCAGGGGGUCAGUUUGACUGGGGCGGUUUCCUCCCAAACAGUAACGGAGGAGUUCGAAGAUCGGCUCAGCACGGUCGGCAAUCGUGCGUCGAGCGCAAGGGUAGAAGCCGGUCUGACUGCGACACCGACAGGUGGGGCAGACGCGAAAGCGGGACCUAGUGAUCCGGCGCUUCCUCGUGGAAGGGGCGUCGCUCAACGGAUAAAAGGUACUCUGGGGAUAACAGGCUGAUCGCGGCCGAGAGUUCACAUCGACGCCGCGGUUUGGCACCUCGAUGUCGGCUCUUCGCAUCCUGGGGCUGGAGAAGGUCCCAAGGGUUUGGCUGUUCGCCAAUUAAAGCGGAACGCGAGCUGGGUUCAAAACGUCGUGAGACAGUUUGGUCCUUAUCCUCUGUGGGCGCAGGUGGUUUGACGGGAGCAUUCCCUAGUACGAGAGGACCGGGAAUGACGGGCCCAUGGUGUUCCGGUUGUCGCGCCAGCGGCAUGCCGGGUAGCUAUGCCCGGAACGGAUAAGCGCUGAAGGCAUCUAAGCGCCAAGCCUCCCCGAAGACGAGACCACCCGCCAGAAAUGGCCUCAAGCGCGGUCGUAGACGACGACCUCGAUAGGCCGCAGGUGCAGGCGCGGCGACGCGUUGAGCCGAGCGGUACUAAUCGCGCGUGCGGCUUGGCUUU
RNAcentral lists this ribosomal RNA (2875 nucleotides) under human gut metagenome. RNAcentral describes it as "bacterial LSU rRNA". It matches the Rfam family "Bacterial large subunit ribosomal RNA". The record is from RNAcentral.